Molecule: ribosomal RNA, 254 nt
Filed under: uncultured bacterium
Lineage: Bacteria
Description: partial 16S ribosomal RNA
Rfam family: Bacterial small subunit ribosomal RNA
Source: RNAcentral
UACGGGGGGUGCGAGCGUUGUCCGGAAUCACUGGGCGUAAAGGGCGCGUAGGUGGCUUUGUAAGUUUGCGGUGAAAGCCCGGGGCUCAACCCCGGGUCUGCCGUGGAUACUGCAAGGCUUGAGUACUGUAGAGGCAGGUAGAAUAUCGGGUGUAGCGGUGGAAUGCGUAGAGAUCCGAUAGAAGACCGGUGGCGAAGGCGGCCUGCUGGGGCAGUAACUGACACUGAGGCGCGACAGCGUGGGGAGCAAACAGG